Molecule: ribosomal RNA, 517 nt
Filed under: Pediococcus damnosus
Lineage: Bacteria; Bacillati; Bacillota; Bacilli; Lactobacillales; Lactobacillaceae
Description: bacterial SSU rRNA
Rfam family: Bacterial small subunit ribosomal RNA
Source: RNAcentral
AACGCUGGCGGCGUGCCUAAUACAUGCAAGUCGGACGCACUUUCGUUGAUUGAAUUAGAGAUGCUUGCAUCGAAGAUGAUUUCAACUAUAAAGUGAGUGGCGAACGGGUGAGUAACACGUGGGUAACCUGCCCAGAAGUGGGGGAUAACACCUGGAAACAGAUGCUAAUACCGCAUAAUAAAAUGAACCGCAUGGUUUAUUUUUAAAAGAUGGCUUCGGUAUCACUUCUGGAUGGACCCGCGGCGUAUUAGCUAGUUGGUGAGAUAAAGGCUCACCAAGGCUGUGAUACGUAGCCGACCUGAGAGGGUAAUCGGCCACAUUGGGACUGAGACACGGCCCAGACUCCUACGGGAGGCAGCAGUAGGGAAUCUUCCACAAUGGACGAAAGUCUGAUGGAGCAACGCCGCGUGAGUGAUGAAGGCUUUAGGGUCGUAAAACUCUGUUGUUGGAGAAGAACGUGUGUGAGAGUAACUGCUCAUGCAGUGACGGUAUCCAACCAGAAAGCCACGGCUAACUA